RNAcentral lists this non-coding RNA (30 nucleotides) under Bombyx mori (domestic silkworm). The record is from RNAcentral. Lineage: Eukaryota; Metazoa; Arthropoda; Insecta; Lepidoptera; Bombycidae.
UCAGCGUGGUGUUCGGAGGGCGACCCCUUU